This 497-nucleotide ribosomal RNA is filed under the name uncultured bacterium. RNAcentral describes it as "partial 16S ribosomal RNA". It matches the Rfam family "Bacterial small subunit ribosomal RNA", at positions 28 to 507 of the family's 1533-position model. The record is from RNAcentral.
GAUGAACGCUGGCGGCGUGCCUAAUACAUGCAAGUCGAGCGAACAGAUGAGGAGCUUGCUCCUCUGACGUUAGCGGCGGACGGGUGAGUAACACGUGGAUAACCUACCUAUAAGACUGGGAUAACUUCGGGAAACCGGAGCUAAUACCGGAUAAUAUAUUGAACCGCAUGGUUCAAUAGUGAAAGACGGUUUUGCUGUCACUUAUAGAUGGAUCCGCGCCGCAUUAGCUAGUUGGUAAGGUAACGGCUUACCAAGGCAACGAUGCGUAGCCGACCUGAGAGGGUGAUCGGCCACACUGGAACUGAGACACGGUCCAGACUCCUACGGGAGGCAGCAGUAGGGAAUCUUCCGCAAUGGGCGAAAGCCUGACGGAGCAACGCCGCGUGAGUGAUGAAGGUCUUCGGAUCGUAAAACUCUGUUAGUAGGGAGGAACAAAUGUGUAAGUAACUAUGCACGUCUUGACGGUACCUAAUCAGAAAGCCACGGCUAACUACGUG